GGGGCUGAUAUAGCUUUAGACGGAGAGACCUUAACAAUCUGCUUUGCGUGUUGAAUUACGAACGUAAAUCGUUAACUAAUUGCAAAAACAAUUACUCAGCGAGCUGCUGAAUCACUACGAAAUGUUGCUUCUGCAAUGUUCCCAGCUGGUUCACAGUUUGCGCUAGCUGCUUAGUCUACUAUCAGCCAUCGGUAUCUUGACGUCAGAUAGAGUCAUACUGGUGUUAUAUCAUCUGGCUUGGUCUCGUGCGGCAUAUCGGCGUACGUUACGACAUUUUCCGAUUUCAAGCCUUGUUCCUUUUUGUUUGUUCUCUCGAGGACAAUGGUUUGUAAAAUUUUAGAAUAAACUACACACGUAGAAGAGCAGAUGUUACUUUUCGGACCCGGGGGCAGUACCCGGCAGCUCCACCA
Molecule: transfer-messenger RNA, 410 nt
Filed under: Candidatus Saccharimonadota bacterium
Lineage: Bacteria; Candidatus Saccharimonadota
Rfam family: transfer-messenger RNA
About the family: Bacterial tmRNA, also known as 10Sa RNA or SsrA, is named for its dual tRNA and mRNA-like properties. Its role is to liberate the mRNA from a stalled ribosome. To accomplish this part of the tmRNA is used as a reading frame that ends in a translation stop signal.
Source: RNAcentral